UUGACGGGGGCCCGCACAAGCGGUGGAGCAUGUGGUUUAAUUCGAAGCUACGCGAAGAACCUUACCAGGUCUUGACAUCUUGCGCCAACCCUAGAGAUAGGGCGUUUCCUUCGGGAACGCAAUGACAGGUGGUGCAUGGUCGUCGUCAGCUCGUGUCGUGAGAUGUUGGGUUAAGUCCCGCAACGAGCGCAACCCUUGUUACUAGUUGCCAGCAUUAAGUUGGGCACUCUAGUGAGACUGCCGGUGACAAACCGGAGGAAGGUGGGGACGACGUCAGAUCAUCAUGCCCCUUAUGACCUGGGCUACACACGUGCUACAAUGGACGGUACAACGAGUCGCGAACUCGCGAGGGCAAGCAAAUCUCUUAAAACCGUUCUCAGUUCGGACUGCAGGCUGCAACUCGCCUGCACGAAGUCGGAAUCGCUAGUAAUCGCGGAUCAGCAUGCCGCGGUGAAUACGUUCCCGGGCCUUGUACACACCGCCCGUCACACCAUGAGAGUUUGUAACACCCAAAGUCGGUGGGGUUAACCUUUAGGAGCCAGCCGCUAAGG
This 551-nucleotide ribosomal RNA is filed under the name Limosilactobacillus fermentum. RNAcentral describes it as "bacterial SSU rRNA". It matches the Rfam family "Bacterial small subunit ribosomal RNA", at positions 910 to 1461 of the family's 1533-position model. The record is from RNAcentral. Lineage: Bacteria; Bacillati; Bacillota; Bacilli; Lactobacillales; Lactobacillaceae.